RNAcentral lists this transfer RNA (79 nucleotides) under Sphaerodactylus townsendi. RNAcentral's name for it is "tRNA-Ala". Lineage: Eukaryota; Metazoa; Chordata; Lepidosauria; Squamata; Sphaerodactylidae. The record is from RNAcentral.
GGGGCCGUGGCUCUGUGGUAGAACAUCUGCUUGGCAUGCAGACUGUCCCAGUUUCAAUCCCUGGCCGCUAAAAGGACCA